AGAACGAACGCUGGCGGCAGGCUUAACACAUGCAAGUCGAGCGCCCAGCAAUGGGAGCGGCGGACGGGUGAGUAACACGUGGGAACAUGCCUUUCGGUACGGAACAACUUCGGGAAACUGAAGCUAAUGCCGUAUGCGCCCUUACGGGGAAAGAUUUAUCGCCGAAAGAUUGGCCCGCGUCUGAUUAGCUAGUUGGUGAGGUAACGGCUCACCAAGGCUUCGAUCAGUAGCUGGUUUGAGAGAACGACCAGCCACACUGGGACUGAGACACGGCCCAGACUCCUACGGGAGGCAGCAGUGGGGAAUCUUGGACAAUGGAGGAAACUCUGAUCCAGCCAUGCCGCGUGAGUGAUGAAGGCCUUCGGGUUGUAAAACUCUUUUACCAGGGAAGAUAAUGACUGUACCUGGAGAAUAAGCCCGGCUAACUCGUGCCAGCAGCCGC
Molecule: ribosomal RNA, 442 nt
Filed under: uncultured bacterium
Lineage: Bacteria
Description: SSU rRNA
Rfam family: Bacterial small subunit ribosomal RNA
Source: RNAcentral